This 583-nucleotide small RNA is filed under the name uncultured fungus. RNAcentral's name for it is "eukaryotic LSU rRNA". The stretch from base 246 to 399 matches the Rfam family "5.8S ribosomal RNA". The record is from RNAcentral. Lineage: Eukaryota; Fungi.
GGAAGGAUCAUUAUCGAAUAAAACUUGAACAGGUUGUUGCUGGCUCUCCUCGAUGGAGGGGGUUGUGCACGCUUGUCAUUUUUAUCUCAUUUCUCCUCUGUGCACCAGCUGUAGGUCUGGAGUGUUUGAAAUAUCGAUUGAGGACUGCUGUGCUUUUUGAAAGAGUCGGCUUUGCCUUGCAUCUCCAGGUCUAUGUUUACAAUCUCUCAAUGUGUUUGGAAUGUCAAAUUAUAUGUAUAACAUACAACUUUCAGCAACGGAUCUCUUGGCUCUCGCAUCGAUGAAGAACGCAGCGAAAUGCGAUAAGUAAUGUGAAUUGCAUAAUUCAGUGAAUCAUCCAAUCUUUGAACGCAUCUUGCGCUCCUUGGUAUUCUGAGGAGCAUGCCUGUUUGAGUGUCAUCAAGUUCUCAACCGCAUUGAUUUGCUUUGAUGUGGAUUGGACAUGGGGUUUGCAGGCCCCUUUCAAAGGGUUCUGCUUCUCUGAAAUAGAUUAGUGGCAAUCUGAGCAGAUAUACUACUACGGGUGCGAUAACUAUCUAUGCCUUUUUGUGAAAUCCUGCGCAAACUGCUUCUAAUCUCAUUU